This 429-nucleotide ribosomal RNA is filed under the name Pseudomonadota bacterium. RNAcentral's name for it is "Proteobacteria bacterium partial 16S ribosomal RNA". It matches the Rfam family "Bacterial small subunit ribosomal RNA", at positions 355 to 776 of the family's 1533-position model. The record is from RNAcentral. Lineage: Bacteria; Pseudomonadati; Pseudomonadota.
UGGGGAAUUUUGGACAAUGGGCGAAAGCCUGAUCCAGCCAUGCCGCGUGUGUGAAGAAGGUCUUCGGAUUGUAAAGCUCUUUAAGUUGGGAGGAAGGGCAGUAAGCGAAUACCUUGCUGUUUUGACGUUACCGACAGAAUAAGCACCGGCUAACUCUGUGCCAGCAGCGGCGGUAAUACAGAGGGUGCAAGCGUUAAUCGGAAUUACUGGGCGUAAAGCGCGCGUAGGUGGUUCGUUAAGUUGAAUGUGAAAUCCCCGGGCUCAACCUGGGAGCUGCAUCCAAAACUGGCGAGCUAGAGUAGGGCAGAGGGUGGUGGAAUUUCCUGUGUGGCGGUGAAAUGCGUAGAUAUAGGAAGGAACACCAGUGGCGAAGGCGACCACCUGGGCUCAUACUGACACUGAGGUGCGAAAGCGUGGGGAGCAAACAGG